ACUCAUGGCAGUUGUAUGCGGGAGGCCUUCGGGUCUGCCGGUACCUCGUUCCGGUUCGCCAACCUGCGUACAACUGCCACCUUU
This 84-nucleotide non-coding RNA is filed under the name Pseudomonas sp. NFACC47-1. Lineage: Bacteria; Pseudomonadati; Pseudomonadota; Gammaproteobacteria; Pseudomonadales; Pseudomonadaceae. RNAcentral also lists the same sequence under 1 other name. The record is from RNAcentral.